CUGAAGUGCUGCUGUGCAACAUGAAACCAAACGUCUGCCACUCUGUCAUUGGUGCUCUACAACAGAGACAAAUCCACUGACCAAAGGUGAGGAGUUACACUUAAGUCAUUUUGAUUUAAUACGCAGAAUGAGGUGAACGGGCAUUUUGAGUGUAAAGUUCUUAAAUCUGAUUUAAUUUUUCUUUAAAAAGAUGGAUUUUGUUAUCUUAAAAAAUCCUUAAUCUAUUUUACUAUUUGAACUUUAAAAAAUUACUAUAAUCUCAGAUGUACAAGGUAGAAAUGAACAAAAAUAUGAGAAUAGUAGUGGUUGUUGUUACUUGUGCCUGCCACAAGAGGGAGCUAAACCUCCGCCUUUAUGAGCAACUGCAGAUUUAAAAACACAGACAGGUGAAGCUGUUGAAUGAAUUUAUUCUAAAAAAAAUUUAACCAAAGACCUUUUGCUGUUGAGAAAAUGAGUAAUAUAAAUCAUUGCAGUUGUAUUUGUACACGCAGAAACUGAACAACAGCAAAGCGGGGUCAGAGACCGCAGCUUAAACUGAGCCUCAAACUGGGAGGACACACAUCAGGAGGGAAACCAGUGCAGCUCCAAUUGACCGUCUGAAGUACCUCACAGGCUUUGCUACAUUAGGGAAAGUUUUACAUCUCCACCGGCCAAUCAUGAUUGAAGUGACAGCCUGAUUGAGACUGGCCGGCGUACACAUGCGUCAUCUCUUCAUCAUGCGUUGAAUCAUUGUAAUAAUGGAAGAGAUUGAUCAUAAGUUGCUAAAACAUGAGAUAAUUUAUCUUGAAAUAUUGUUCCAUCUCCUCUGCAUGUGUGGCCUUGAGCGAGAAUGGUAAGAAAUGUGUGCAACCGUGUAGCUCCGCCCUCAGACUCUACAGAUUUAGCUUCACUCAGACCUCUGCAGCAAAAUUAGUAAUUGCUGUAGAUCAUUUUCAGUCCUCUGAAAUUCUCUCUCUCUCUCUUUCUGUGUGUGUGUGUGUGUGUGUGUGUGUGUGUGUGUGUGUGUGUGUGUGUGUGUGUGUGUGUGUGUGUGUGUGUGUGUGUGUGUGUGUGUAGACAGCUGCGUUCUUAUUUAUGUUGGACAAGAUUCUGGUAGUUUCCAAGAAUAUUUCCAGCAUGAGGGAGAGAGAGAGCAAGAGUGUUUCUGAGUUUCUGGCUGAAAUUGGAGCUCUUCAUCUUCCUUACACACAUACAUACAGAGAGAGAGAGAGAGAGAGAGAGAGAGAGGAAGGUCAGGUUUCCACAGAAGUUUGUUUGCAUUUUAAAAAAGGAGAGGAAACAGAAGAUGAUCAGAAUAUAGAGGAGAGAAAAAGGGAGAUCAGGGAAGAAGAGGGUAGAGGAAACAAGGAUUAUAGAUGCAAAUAAAGGAAAGAAGUCAAGGAAACAGAAAAAAGUAAUCCCAAAGAAGCAAUCUUUAUUGAUUUAACUUAAACCCUGGCAUUGAUUAAUUAUUAUCUAAUGAUAACUUUACUUUAACAUGAAAUUAACCUUUUUGAUUAUGCAGUGCUGGGCCCCAACAACUGCAUAUUUGUCCUUUAAUCAAUCAUUAUUUUACAAGUCCAAGUCUGCAGAGGUUGGGAGGCUGUAUAAAAAGCAAAUAUAAAAAUGAACAUAUCCAGAAAAACCUGAAAAAAUCAGAAUUGACAUUCCUUUUGGAAACCAUGGAUACUGCAUCCAUGGUCUGCCUGCAAUCCUGACCAUCAAACUUUAUUAAUUAAGAUAUUUUUUCAUUCUUAAUUUGCCAUGUAUUUGUGACUUCAGCUGCUUGGACCCUCUUGAAAACAGUGCAGUACUUACCUCCAAUAAAAUGGGAAAGAAAGAGAAGGAAACAAGGAAAGAAAAUCUGAGGAAAGGGUAAGGAGCCAAGGCAAGCAUGUGUACUUACCUCACUUUUACUUUUGUGUAUCUAUAUGAGCAAAUGUGUGUUCUUAUUAGU
This 1936-nucleotide long non-coding RNA is filed under the name Xyrichtys novacula (pearly razorfish). Lineage: Eukaryota; Metazoa; Chordata; Actinopteri; Labriformes; Labridae. The record is from RNAcentral.